This 762-nucleotide ribosomal RNA is filed under the name Bacillus aerophilus. RNAcentral's name for it is "bacterial SSU rRNA". It matches the Rfam family "Bacterial small subunit ribosomal RNA", at positions 60 to 805 of the family's 1533-position model. Lineage: Bacteria; Bacillati; Bacillota; Bacilli; Caryophanales; Bacillaceae. The record is from RNAcentral.
AGUCGAGCGGACAGAAGGGAGCUUGCUCCCGGAUGUUAGCGGCGGACGGGUGAGUAACACGUGGGUAACCUGCCUGUAAGACUGGGAUAACUCCGGGAAACCGGAGCUAAUACCGGAUAGUUCCUUGAACCGCAUGGUUCAAGGAUGAAAGACGGUUUCGGCUGUCACUUACAGAUGGACCCGCGGCGCAUUAGCUAGUUGGUGAGGUAACGGCUCACCAAGGCGACGAUGCGUAGCCGACCUGAGAGGGUGAUCGGCCACACUGGGACUGAGACACGGCCCAGACUCCUACGGGAGGCAGCAGUAGGGAAUCUUCCGCAAUGGACGAAAGUCUGACGGAGCAACGCCGCGUGAGUGAUGAAGGUUUUCGGAUCGUAAAGCUCUGUUGUUAGGGAAGAACAAGUGCAAGAGUAACUGCUUGCACCUUGACGGUACCUAACCAGAAAGCCACGGCUAACUACGUGCCAGCAGCCGCGGUAAUACGUAGGUGGCAAGCGUUGUCCGGAAUUAUUGGGCGUAAAGGGCUCGCAGGCGGUUUCUUAAGUCUGAUGUGAAAGCCCCCGGCUCAACCGGGGAGGGUCAUUGGAAACUGGGAAACUUGAGUGCAGAAGAGGAGAGUGGAAUUCCACGUGUAGCGGUGAAAUGCGUAGAGAUGUGGAGGAACACCAGUGGCGAAAGCGACUCUCUGGUCUGUAACUGACGCUGAGGAGCGAAAGCGUGGGGAGCGAACAGGAUUAGAUACCCUGGUAGUCCACGCCGUAA